CUUAGGCUAGAAUCUUCCCGGUAAGCGCACCUUGGCGUGCUUACAAACAUUAUUAGAAAUGGGCUAGUCCAGGGGCGAGAAUUAGCCUGUAAGGGUUAGAGUUCAUGGGCCAAGCAGUUCUUUAAAUGAAUACAGUUUGUGUGUUGUUAUUUCGGGCAUGAGCUAGCCAUGCGGGCGGCCGGGUGCUGGGGACGCAGCCCUGCCGCUCCUAUUUCAACAGAUGGCGCCCAGACGUGAUGGCUAAAUCCACUUAAAAACCUGAGAAGGCUUAAAAAUAAGGGAGAGAGAGUUUAACACAGAUUUUUGCUGUUUUGUUGGUGGCGUUCUGUAGAGAGAUUCCUGAUUCAGCAACAGCAAAAAAAAAAAAAAAAAGCCGCGUCAUUUUAAAGCGCUGCUUCCUGGAGCUAUGCUGCCAGCGUGAACUCUGGCUUUAAAGCAUUUCAAGGCUUUUACGGGACUGGAUGUUUGUGUUCCCGCUUGGGAUCGGAGGAGAGUGCUCUGAGACCAUGCUGAUGGCUCAGCAUUCCCUGCCUGCACCUGGACAGAUGGCGGAAUCAGGCUUAGGCAGGCGGAAGAGCAUGGCGGAUUCCUGCCGCCAUACAGAGACGCGUUUUCAGACUGCGCAUUGCUCUGUGUGUCAGAUUUUGCUGUAACUUGGAUUAAAAAGAGUUUCUGUGCUGCACACUCAGUCUCAGAAUUAAACUGCUGAUUGUGGCUCCAAUGUGGGCUGCUGUGUGCCUUGAACUGUGUGUGGUUCAGGGGCACCAAAUGGCUCUGAGGCAAGAGCGGCUCAGCUCGGCUCUGCCAUGCUGAACUGAGCUGGUCUCAGGCAGGAACUACUGUAAUUACCUUAAAACUGCGUAGUUAAGGUUUAGACUGGGCAGGACACAAGCAGUACCGUAUUACCUGCACAUGGUGCAACUUAAGUUUUUAAGAAGUGCUUAACAUUUAAAAAAAAAUGCUCCUGGAUAGUAAAAAAAUUACAGAUUCACAGUAAAACAGAUUCAGACACUGUUGCAUGAAUGUACGUAGGCUUGGGAGAGAGAAGAAAAAGAAUAUAAAGAAUAAAGUUAAUGUCUUAAAAAGAAAAAGGGUAAAGUCUUUAAAGAGACAGAGUACAGAAGUACAGAUAGUUAUAGAUUAAGAGAAAUAAAGAAAAAUAAGCCACGUAAAAAUGGAAAAUUCACAGAGAGUCUGGAUUAUGUACAUUGUGUUUUCUUUAAAAUUUUUGACUGUGAAGGAGCUAAGUACAGAGAGACAUUUCAUUACAUGGGCUGCCAAGCUAAACCAAAAUGGAUAUAAGGGUAUUACGAUUUCAAAAUUUGGGUCUAAGGAUAUGAUGCUUUGGAGAGGGUCUUCUUUUGUUUUUGCAGAGGAUGAGACCCAAUGGAUUGCAUCUAUUCCGAUUUGGUAUGAUAGACCACGCCCUCCUGAAAGGUUGCUGUGAAUACCUUCCCAAAAUUGCUUCACUCAACUGCCAACUGAGAUGAAACUAGCACACAGGUUAUACCAUAAACGACCUAAUUAACGACGCCCCUAUUCAGCAGGAAGCAGUUUGGAGAGAAGAAACUACACCCAUGUUCCCAAAUACUGUUUAUAACUGUUCUUUUACAUUUAAAGGGGGAUAUGAUAUAGAUAUGAAUAAUUUGCAUUGGCAUGGAUUUUAAGGUCAAUUUUGUUAUAUGUAUUUCUGAUCUUGAUUAAGGUAUUAUGAUUGUGUAGUUCAUUUAAAAUAUAAUGUGUAAUAGGAAAUAUAGGUUGCUAAUGGAUAAUCAUCACUAAUAGUUAAGCUUAUAAUCAUGUUACUUAGAUUUUCUAGAUAUAUAGAGAUAUAUUUUAGUUAGAUAGGCAUUCUUCAUAUCUUUCAAAGGCUGCAGAAUAUGGCAUUUAAGAUAUUUUAAUAACUUAGGACUUUUCAUGACAAUGAGACACGUCUGCUCCUGGCAGCACCAAUCUACUUCAAAAGGAAGAUGGGCAUCGAAGAGGAUCCUUAUGGAGUUUGAUAGACAUUUGGGCAAGAAACUGCUCUUGCCUGGACUAUUGCAUAAACUGGACACAGAGAACCCGCAGAGAGAGGACUGCUGAACUUGCCUAAAGGUGAGAUGAUCUUUCGGGGUUCCUGAUUCAUGAAAGAGUCUGCAAGACAUUCUUCAAGACAAGCAGAUAGUGACUGCCUUUGAAAGUUCCUGCUUUGUGGAAAUGUCUGCUGGAAACUAUGGGCCUCUAGGCUGAAGAUGGAUGCCCCAACGGUACAGAGGAACUUUGGGUGAAUGUCCAGGCAGCGAGAUGUCUCUGUCAUUUCUAGAGCUUUGGAUGUUAAGUUAAAGCCUUCUUUUUUUUGUUUAAACAGAAAAAGGGGAAGUGAUGUGGGAGUGUCAUAUAUCAAUCUGUUGAUUUCAUUGGUUAAGUUAUAAUAAACCAACUGCUUGGCCUCAUAGCUUGGAUGGGAGGAGAAAACAGAAUAGGAUGCUGGGCGGAAGAGGAAGUGAGGUCAGUCUCUGCUCUGCUUCCUGAGAGAAGCCAUGCUCAGCUCUCCCGGGUAGACCCAAGAGCUCUGCUCUCUGGAGCAGAGACACCACGAUGGACUUUGGCUAGAAUCUUCCUGGUAAGCGCACCUUGGGAUGCUUACACACAUCAUUAGAAAUGGGCUAGUCCAGGUGCGAGAAUUAGCCUGUAAGGGCUAGAGUUCAGGCCAAGCAGUUCUUAAAUGAA
This is a long non-coding RNA of Alexandromys fortis (reed vole), 2712 nucleotides long. RefSeq lists it as uncharacterized. The transcript is spliced from 2 exons. The record is from RefSeq and is a predicted model, not a curated record. NCBI's taxonomy places the organism in Eukaryota, Metazoa, Chordata, Mammalia, Rodentia, Cricetidae.